AUUGAACGCUGGCGGCAUGCCUAACACAUGCAAGUCGAACGGCAGCACGGUUAAGUACUUGUACUUAAUGGGUGGCGAGUGGCGAACGGGUGAGUAAUGCGCAGGAAUAUGCAUUAAAGAGGGGGAUAACUUGGGGAAACUCAAGCUAAUACCGCAUAAGCUCUGAGGAGUAAAGCUGGGGACCUUCGGGCCUGGCGCUUUAAGAAUAGCCUGCGUCCGAUUAGGUAGUUGGUAGGGUAAAGGCCUACCAAGGCGACGAUCGGUAGCUGGUCUGAGAGGAUGGACAGGCACACUGGGACUGAGACACGGCCCAGACUCCUACGGGAGGCAGCAGUGGGGAAUAUUGCACGAUGGGGGCAUCCCUGAUCCAGCAACGCCGCGUGUGUGAAGAAGGCCUGAGGGGUGUAAAGCACUUUCAGUGGGGAGGAGGAUUGGUUGGUUAAGAGCUGAUUAAUUGGACGUUACCUACAGAAGAAGCACCGGCUAACUCCGUGCCAGCCGCCGCCGUAA
RNAcentral lists this ribosomal RNA (510 nucleotides) under uncultured bacterium. Its description in RNAcentral is "partial 16S ribosomal RNA". It matches the Rfam family "Bacterial small subunit ribosomal RNA", at positions 30 to 523 of the family's 1533-position model. The record is from RNAcentral.